AUUGAACGCUGGCGGCAGGCUUAACACAUGCAAGUCGAGCGGGGUGAUGGUGCUUGCACUAUCACUUAGCGGCGGACGGGUGAGUAAUGCUUAGGAAUCUGCCUAUUAGUGGGGGACAACAUCUCGAAAGGGAUGCUAAUACCGCAUACGUCCUACGGGAGAAAGCAGGGGAUCACUUGUGACCUUGCGCUAAUAGAUGAGCCUAAGUCGGAUUAGCUAGUUGGCGGGGUAAAGGCCUACCAAGGCGACGAUCUGUAGCGGGUCUGAGAGGAUGAUCCGCCACACUGGAACUGAGACACGGCCCAGACGCCUACGGGAGGCAGCAGUGGGGAAUAUUGGACAAUGGGGGCAACCCUGAUCCAGCAAUGCCGCGUGUGUGAAGAAGGCCUUCGGGUUGUAAAGCACUUUAGUUGGGGAAGAAGGUGUAUUGUUUAAGAGAUGAUACAUUUGACUGUACCCAAAGAAUAAGCACCGGCUAACUCUGUGCCAGCAGCCGCCGUAA
This 502-nucleotide ribosomal RNA is filed under the name uncultured bacterium. RNAcentral's name for it is "partial 16S ribosomal RNA". It matches the Rfam family "Bacterial small subunit ribosomal RNA", at positions 30 to 523 of the family's 1533-position model. The record is from RNAcentral.